This 197-nucleotide ribosomal RNA is filed under the name uncultured bacterium. RNAcentral describes it as "partial 16S ribosomal RNA". It matches the Rfam family "Bacterial small subunit ribosomal RNA", at positions 326 to 544 of the family's 1533-position model. The record is from RNAcentral.
ACGCUCGACACCUACGGUAGGCAGCAGUGGGGAAUAUUGCACAAUGGGGGAAACCCUGAUGCAGCGACGCCGCGUGAGCGAAGAAGUAUUUCGGUAUGUAAAGCUCUAUCAGCAGGGAAGAAACUGACGGUACCUGACUAAGAAGCACCGGCUAAAUACGUGCCANNCGCGUAUNUGAGCGGGCGUGGCGAAGGACG